AACCUAGCACACCUGCGGUGUGUACCUGCGGAAGGAUCAUUACCGAGUUUACAACUCCCAAACCCCUGUGAACAUACCAAUUGUUGCCUCGGCGGAUCAGCCCGCUCCCGGUAAAACGGGACGGCCCGCCAGAGGACCCCUAAACUCUGUUUCUAUAUGUAACUUCUGAGUAAAACCAUAAAUAAAUCAAAACUUUCAGCAAUGGAUCU
This 209-nucleotide unclassified non-coding RNA is filed under the name soil metagenome. RNAcentral's name for it is "partial contains 5.8S ribosomal RNA, internal transcribed spacer 2, and large subunit ribosomal RNA". The record is from RNAcentral.